UAGUGAGUUUGAUCCUGGCUCAGGACGAACGCUGACGGUCUGCUUAACACAUGCAAGUCGAACGCAAGUAGAAAUACUUGAGUGGCGGACGGGUGAGUAACGCGUGAGAAUCUGCCUUCUGGUCGGGGACAACCACUGGAAACGGUGGCUAAUACCGGAUAUGCCUAUGGGUGAAAGAUUUAUCGCCGAAGGAUCGGCCCGCGUCGGAUUAGCUAGUUGGUGGGGUAAUGGCCCACCAAGGCGACGAUCCGUAGCUGGUCUGAGAGGAUGAUCAGCCACACUGGGACUGAGACACGGCCCAGACUCCUACGGGGAGGCAGCAGUGGGGAAUAUUGGACAAUGGGUUAGCGCCUGAUCCAGCCAUCCGCGUGAAGGACGACGGCCCCUAUGGGUUGUAAACUUCUUUUGUACAGGAUAAACCUUUCCACGUGUGGAAGCUGAAGGUACUGUACGA
RNAcentral lists this ribosomal RNA (454 nucleotides) under uncultured bacterium. RNAcentral's name for it is "bacterial SSU rRNA". It matches the Rfam family "Bacterial small subunit ribosomal RNA", at positions 1 to 485 of the family's 1533-position model. The record is from RNAcentral.